This 253-nucleotide ribosomal RNA is filed under the name uncultured bacterium. RNAcentral describes it as "partial 16S ribosomal RNA". It matches the Rfam family "Bacterial small subunit ribosomal RNA", at positions 524 to 776 of the family's 1533-position model. The record is from RNAcentral.
UACAGAGGUCCCAAGCGUUGUUCGGAUUCAUUGGGCGUAAAGGGUGUGUAGGUGGCGCCGUAAGUCGGGUGUGAAAUUUCGGAGCUUAACUCCGAAACUGCAUUCGAUACUGUGGUGCUUGAGGACUGGAGAGGAGACUGGAAUUCAUGGUGUAGCAGUGAAAUGCGUAGAGAUCAUGAGGAAGACCAGUGGCGAAGGCGGGUCUCUGGACAGUUCCUGACACUGAGACACGAAGGCCAGGGGAGCAAACGGG